GAGAACCACAGAAAUGGCCGCGAGUCUUGCUAGCUUUGAAGAUAAAGAAAUAGGGUCAUGAGCCAAGGAAUGCAGGCAUCCUCUACAAAGAGGAAGAAGCAAGAGAACAGAUUCUCCCCAAGAACCUCCAGAAAGGAAUGCAGGCCUGGCGUCACAUGGAUUUUAGCACGGUGAAACUCAUUUUAGACUUCUGAUCUUCAGAAUGGUUGCCGAGCUCUGAGGAAACGUGGAUGCAGCCCAGUGGUCGUGUGAAGAAGCCUUAUCCAUCAAUCAGCUGCACCCCCGUGAAGAGCACAGCAGCGACGGUGAGGAUGGGAGUUGGACAUUGCUCACCUGGAACACUGUCAACUGUUAUGAGAAGAAAAGUACAUGUGCCAUCGUUAUCAUCUAUCAAGUCAUGGUUUGGGCCUUCUGACACCAUCAAAAAUCACGCCAGCUAAAGAAAAAGAAGAUAAGUCCCAAGAAAUUUACUUAUUUUUUUCCCCAGAUCUUCCAGCCUGUGUGUUAUAGCAAAUUAUUCCCAUAUAUUUCCUAUCAGUAUUCCUUCAUUCAAAUUUCUUUUGUAAUUCAUAUUAAGCUACUAGUGUCUACAGAUUGGUUUAUAUUUGAUUUCCUACAAUCUACUAAAAUAGUACUUUUCUACUAUUAGAUAUGUUGCUUAUUCUAAAGUGCUGCUUGCUUGGAGAGAGAACCAAAUAACUUAAAAUUUUAUCAUAGAACGACCUGUAAAUUACAGAGAACAAACUAGUAGAACUCAUCUUCUGAGUGAAUUUGGAGCUGGCUAUUUGUUCCUUCAGCAAUACCUAGUAAUGCACAGACAGCUCUGUAUUAGAUUAUUUGUCAAUGUUAUUUUAUGAAGAAAUUUAAUAGAGUUUACUACUCUGCAAUCCACUGAGCACUUCCUAACUUAAUUGUCAUAUUCUGCAUUUCCUGAGAUUUACAAUUAAAAUUGUGACGAGCCAGACAUACAAACUACCCCUUGUGUGACAAGACAGGUUAUUUGUAUUUUACCAAAAUUAUAUGAGAUAUUCAUU
Balaenoptera acutorostrata (minke whale) is the source of this 1034-nucleotide long non-coding RNA. RefSeq lists it as uncharacterized. The transcript is spliced from 3 exons. The record is from RefSeq and is a predicted model, not a curated record. Lineage: Eukaryota; Metazoa; Chordata; Mammalia; Artiodactyla; Balaenopteridae.